UGAGUAAGAAAGGCAAGGGAAAAAUACAGCAGACAAGUGAUUAUACGACACACAUUCUGAUGGAAACCUGGUCAAGUCCCCUAACUUCUCUGGAUUCCAUAAUUUAUCCAUUGGGUUGGGAUACCUGCAGUAUCCGUAUGAAAAACUGAGCCCUAAGAGUAACCAUGGAAGAAUGAAAAAGAUAAUUACCAACUAGAAUUCUGGCAGGGGGCUGUGCUAUCAGAGGAAGUUCAAAAUCUUCGAGGACCUGGGAGGUCGGGGUCAGGGGUAAACAAGGGUAAGUGCAAUACUGAAUUUCUUAUUCUAGAAUUCAAAAAUCCUUCAGACAUAUGCUCUCCUCACCCUUACUUCAUGCUCCAGCUAUACGAACACAACUUCUACUUCCCUAAACAAACUCCUUAGAGUGUUUCCCAUGUGUGUUUCUGGAGGGGAUGCAAUCCCCUCUGCCUGGAAUACGAAUCAGUUCUUCAUUCCCUAGGAAAUAGCCAUUCCUCCUUUAAAGGUCAGCUCAUAUGCUGACUCUUCUAUGAAGUUCUCUCAAAUCACCAAGUGUAAUGCUCUCUUGGCACUUUUUAUGCUUUUCAACCCCUACUGGGAAUUGGUGAUCUAAAUGAUUAAUUCACACUUGCUUACAAUGCUUAAUCCGCAACUCCAGUUUCCUGGUCCUUGACAUAAAUAUUGUAUAACUCAUCUUUCUGGAAAUGCUAUCUUUGGUAUUAUACUUCAGAACAGUUUCAUUUUUAAAAGGGCUGAGUCCCAAGGAUGUGAACAUUCCACUGCAAUUACACAAGGCAAUUGUCUCCACUGGCUUUAAAAAACAAUUAUUUUUUUUUCUGGUUAAAAGCGUAAUUCGUGUUCAACUAUAUGUAAAUACCAAAAAAAAUGGAAACAAAAAUCACGUAUAAAACUGCCAUCUAGAGGUAUAUGUUUGGUGUUAAGUAAAAACAUUUAUUUUUUAUUUUCUUAUUUUAGAGACAGAGAACGUGCACACAUGUGUGCUCCAGCAAGCAGGGGAAGGG
Long non-coding RNA from Felis catus (domestic cat), 1019 nucleotides. RefSeq lists it as uncharacterized. The transcript has 3 exons. The record is from RefSeq and is a predicted model, not a curated record. Lineage: Eukaryota; Metazoa; Chordata; Mammalia; Carnivora; Felidae.